This 433-nucleotide ribosomal RNA is filed under the name uncultured bacterium. Its description in RNAcentral is "partial 16S ribosomal RNA". It matches the Rfam family "Bacterial small subunit ribosomal RNA", at positions 29 to 507 of the family's 1533-position model. The record is from RNAcentral.
AACGAACGCUGGCGGCAUGCCUAACACAUGCAAGUCGAACGAGACCUUCGGGUCUAGUGGCGCACGGGUGCGUAACGCGUGGGAAUCUGCCCUUGGGUUCGGGAUAACAGUUGGAAACGACUGCUAAUACCGGAUGAUGACUUCGGUCCAAAGAUUUAUCGCCCAGGAAUGAGCCCGCGUCGGAUUAGCUAGUUGGUGAGGUAAGAGCUCACCAAGGCGACGAUCCGUAGCUGGUCUGAGAGGAUGAUCAGCCACACUGGGACUGAGACACGGCCCAGACUCCUACGGGAGGCAGCAGUGGGGAAUAUUGGACAAUGGGCGAAAGCCUGAUCCAGCAAUGCCGCGUGAGUGAUGAAGGCCUUAGGGUUGUAAAGCUCUUUUACCCGGGAUGAUAAUGACAGUACCGGGAGAAUAAGCCCCGGCUAACUCCGUG